This 254-nucleotide ribosomal RNA is filed under the name uncultured bacterium. Its description in RNAcentral is "partial 16S ribosomal RNA". It matches the Rfam family "Bacterial small subunit ribosomal RNA", at positions 524 to 776 of the family's 1533-position model. The record is from RNAcentral.
GACGUAGGAUGCAAGCGUUGUCCGGAUUUAUUGGGCGUAAAGAGUUCGUAGGUGGUUUGUUAAGUCUGAUGUUAAAGACUGGGGCUCAACCUCGGAAAUGCAUUGGAUACUGGCAGACUUGAGUGUGGUAGAGGCAAUCGGAAAUUCCAGGUGUAGCGGUGAAAUGCGUAGAUAUCUGGAAGAACACCGGUGGCGCAAGCGGAUUGCUGGGCCAUAACUGACACUGAGGAACGAAAGCUAGGGGAGCAAAUGGG